Non-coding RNA from Lizonia empirigonia, 82 nucleotides. The record is from the annotation of a GenBank genome assembly. Lineage: Eukaryota; Fungi; Ascomycota; Dothideomycetes; Pseudoperisporiaceae.
GGUCGCUUGGUGUAGUGGUCAAACACCUGGCUGAGGUGACCUGCCUGCACAAACCUCGUUGGUUCGAAUCCAGCAACGAUCA